Brassica rapa (field mustard) is the source of this 1162-nucleotide RNA transcript. It is a transcript of the gene named probable plastid-lipid-associated protein 13, chloroplastic, with no coding region annotated. Lineage: Eukaryota; Viridiplantae; Streptophyta; Magnoliopsida; Brassicales; Brassicaceae. The record is from RefSeq and is a predicted model, not a curated record.
UUACCUACAACACAGUACUUCUCAUAUCCUGAGGUUAGCUGCAUAAAGUCUCAAUCUUUCCUUUGUUUUUAUUGAGCUUAUGUCAUCUUCUCCAAUGGCGUUGGUACAGAGUUCGAUUCCCGGUUCGUCUGCGGUCAGAUUGAGCUUCUCAAACUCAAUGCCGACACCGUCAAAAGUCUCCUUCGUUGUCCCGAUGGUGAAAGGUUGGAGGAGGAGUUCAUGCCCAAGAAGGGUGGUGUUAAGAGCAAUGGUUCAGGAAGAAGCAGUUCAAGGCUCUCCUUCAGUUUACGCCAGAGAUAUGGAGAGGCUUUCCGCUAAGGAAUCUCUGCUUCUCGCUUUAAAAGAUGCUGGAGGCUUUGAGGCUUUGGUUACAGGGAAAACUACGAGUAUGCAAAGGAUCGAUGUCAAUGAGAGGAUAACGAGUUUGGAGCGGCUUAACCCUUCUCCUAGACCAACUACGUCUCCUUGCUUUGAAGGUAGAUGGAACUUCGAGUGGUUUGGCUCUGGAAGCCCUGGUUUACUAGCUGCUCGAGUCAUAUUCGAGAGGUUUCCUUCAACGUUGGCUAACCUUUCAAGAAUGGAGAUAGUUAUUAAAGAUGCUAACGCAAAGGCCACUGCUAAUAUCAAACUACUAAACUCGAUAGAAAGCAAGAUCAUUCUGUCAUCGAAGUUGACUGUGGAGGGACCUCUGAGGCUGAGAGAAGAAUAUGUGGAAGGUAUGGUUGAAUCCCCAACGGUCAUUGAAGAAGCAGUUCCUGAACAGCUUAAACGUGCAUUGGGUCAAGCCACCACAACGUUGCAGCAGCUUCCUGAUCUUAUCAAGGAUACUUUAAGCAGUGGUCUAAGGAUUCCCCUGAUGUGUUGUUAUCUGCUUUAGGUGGAUCUUUUGAGAGAUUCUUUAUGAUAUCUUAUUUGGAUGAGGAGGUUCUUAUAGUAAGAGAUACUUCAGGAGUGCCUGAAGUUCUAACGAGGUUGGAGACACCGCCAUCAAACGUUGUGGAAGCUCUUUGAAUAUGAUAUAGUUAGAUGUUACUAGCCAUUGUUCUUAUGUUCCUUCUGUGUUCUUACAAGAACCAACAACUAAGUUGAGUCUGUUGAAAAUGAAUAACAUUUUUUUUUUGAUAAAAAAAAUGAAUAACCUUAAACAUCUACUUUUGUUUAA